This 1031-nucleotide long non-coding RNA is filed under the name Equus caballus (horse). RNAcentral describes it as "lncRNA (ENSECAG00000057952.1)". Lineage: Eukaryota; Metazoa; Chordata; Mammalia; Perissodactyla; Equidae. The record is from RNAcentral.
GACUUUAGCCCUGAUGUGUCUCGGGAAAUUCACUCACCUGGAAGGAGCAAUAAAGGGUUCUCGGGUUGCCGUCAGCGGAUCUGCCAAAAGCCGGGAGAAAAACCUCUCUCCCUGUUGCCUGAAGCAGAUUUACAGGGCUUCAGACCUCGCUGGAGAGUAGACCCUGCUGCGACUCAGGAAACCACGCCCAGCCCCAGGCUGCAGUAGGAAGGGGCUGGGGGGAAGAAUGGGACCCUCUGUGACUGCAGGAAAACUGAGUCUUGAACCUCGCCUCAGUUGAAAGGAGAGGAUGGAAGGGGGCUCCUGCAGACUGCUGCUGACCCGAAGAAGAAUCUGAGUUAUGUCUCAGCAACUGAACAAACAUUUACAUUUGUCACCAAAAAAACCAAAACACAAAAACCCUUAAAACUAAACUUAAAAGUUCUGGGGAGAAAAAAAGAGAGGGAAUCAGGUCUUUUCUUGUUUCCCAAGGCAGGAGUCGGACGUGGGGAGCAGCCGAUGCAGAAGACAUAAGAGCAGGAGGUGCGUGUGCUGAUUAAACUAAAUGCACACCUAAGACUCUGGUUUUUCUGAAGAUGUGUGUGCCGGAGAGCCGGAGGAAGAGAGAGAGCGAAGCAAAGCGUCCUUGAAUUUGCUCCAGUCUCUCAUAUCACUCUGACUUAGAAAAAACAGAGAGAAGGCAGACCCAUGUCUAUCACAGACAAACCCCUUUUCUUAUUCAAAAAGAGGAAUUUUUAAAAACAAAUUUUUCUCUAAUGAGAUAGAGUUUUCACAACGGGAGGAUUUUGGAAGACAGAUUAUUUUUAGUAGAUUUAUUUAACGCUCUUUUGAAAGUGUGAUUUUUUUUUCAAAAUAGCUUAAGAUGUUAAAGAAUCCAAAGUCAGGACUGGUAUUAGGCACUAACUGGAUGCUAUUUUUCUUUUAUUUUCAUAUCUGUUCCUCUGUUCUUCAUUAUUAAAUUCUAGGGAUAAACACAAGCUCUUUUUCUUUUUCCUACUCAAGGCAGGAAGACUGAGGGAAAGCCUGCUAAA